This 93-nucleotide transfer RNA is filed under the name Burkholderia multivorans. Its description in RNAcentral is "tRNA-Ser". It matches the Rfam family "tRNA". From Rfam's summary of the family: Transfer RNA (tRNA) molecules are approximately 80 nucleotides in length. Their secondary structure includes four short double-helical elements and three loops (D, anti-codon, and T loops). RNAcentral also lists the same sequence under 1 other name. The record is from RNAcentral. Lineage: Bacteria; Pseudomonadati; Pseudomonadota; Betaproteobacteria; Burkholderiales; Burkholderiaceae.
GGAAAAGUUAGCCGAGUUGGCCUAGCGGCAGCGGUCUUGAAAACCGAAGGCUCCGAAAGGGGUGUGUGAGUUCGAGUCUCACCUUUUCCGCCA